AGACCCGAAACCCGGUGAUCUAGCCAUGGGCAGGUUGAAGGUUGGGUAACACUAACUGGAGGACCGAACCGACUAAUGUUGAAAAAUUAGCGGAUGACCUGUGGCUGGGGGUGAAAGGCCAAUCAAACCGGGAGAUAGCUGGUUCUCCCCGAAAGCUAUUUAGGUAGCGCCUCGUGAAUUCAUCUCCGGGGGUAGAGCACUGUUUCGGCUAGGGGGCCAUCCCGGCUUACCAACCCGAUGCAAACUGCGAAUACCGGAGAAUGUUAUCACGGGAGACACACGGCGGGUGCUAACGUCCGUCGUGAAGAGGGAAACAACCCAGACCGCCAGCUAAGGUCCCAAAGUCAUGGUUAAGUGGGAAACGAUGUGGGAAGGCCCAGACAGCCAGGAUGUUGGCUUAGAAGCAGCCAUCAUUUAAAGAAAGCGUAAUAGCUCACUGGUCGAGUCGGCCUGCGCGGAAGAUGUAACGGGGCUAAACCAUGCACCGAAGCUGCGGCAGCGAACGUAUCACUUAAAGCGAUUCAGCGGGUUACGAUUGACGGAGCGAAGCGACGUCAAAGCGUAUACAAAGUCGAGUCGGUUUAAGGAUACGUUCGUUGGGUAGGGG
RNAcentral lists this ribosomal RNA (607 nucleotides) under Salmonella enterica subsp. enterica serovar Infantis. Its description in RNAcentral is "partial 23S ribosomal RNA". It matches the Rfam family "Bacterial large subunit ribosomal RNA", at positions 711 to 1234 of the family's 2925-position model. RNAcentral also lists the same sequence under 3 other names. Lineage: Bacteria; Pseudomonadati; Pseudomonadota; Gammaproteobacteria; Enterobacterales; Enterobacteriaceae. The record is from RNAcentral.